Onychostoma macrolepis is the source of this 433-nucleotide long non-coding RNA. RefSeq lists it as uncharacterized. The transcript is spliced from 3 exons. The record is from RefSeq and is a predicted model, not a curated record. Lineage: Eukaryota; Metazoa; Chordata; Actinopteri; Cypriniformes; Cyprinidae.
CAUGUAUUCCUAUCGAAAUGACCGGAUGUUGCUUGUGAAAGUUUGGUAAAGAACAGUAACGGAAAAUUCACUAAACAGCUGUAAUGGUCGUUUUCAAUUAAUAUUGGGGUUGAGGUGUGGAGGGCGGAGCUGAGCAAACAUUUUUAAUUUAUUACACUGGGAACUGAGCUUCAUGCGUCAUUGGGACUUACAGUGGACCAGAGAAAGCCUCGAGAGAGAGUGUCAAAAAGAUUGAGAAACGUUAGAUGCAGACAUCAAGCAAAAGAAACGUGAGCGGCAGCCAAUUGCUGGGAGGUUCCCGGUCCCUGCAGACCUGCAACUGGACCUCAACAUCUGCACCACACCUCUUCUCUCCUCUCAACCAAUCACUCGAUCACCAGGAGCCAGUGCUCUCAGUAUGGCCAAUAUCCAAACUGCCCAGCUGGGACUGGGA